ACAAGGCGGCCGCGCGGCGAACUGCUACAGCCCGCGAAAUUCAAAAUUAGCCAUGUUAAAAAAUAGCCGGGUUUCUGGUGAUUCCGGAUUUCUGGAUUCCGGAUAAGAGGUUUGGUACCUGUAUAGAUAGAUACAUGAUGUGUGUGUGUGUGUG
Molecule: long non-coding RNA, 154 nt
Organism: Octopus sinensis (East Asian common octopus)
Lineage: Eukaryota; Metazoa; Mollusca; Cephalopoda; Octopoda; Octopodidae
Exons: 3
Source: RefSeq, a predicted model, not a curated record